GAGUUUUGAUCAUGGCUCAGGAUGAACGCUAGCGGCAGGCUUAACACAUGCAAGUCGAGGGGCAUCGGGAGGGAAGCUUGCUUUCCUUGCCGGCGACCGGCGCACGGGUGAGUAACACGUAUGCAACCUGCCCUCUUCAGGGGGACAACCUUCCGAAAGGGAGGCUAAUCCCGCGUAUAUCGGUUUUACGGGCAUCCGUUAUCGAGGAAAGA
RNAcentral lists this ribosomal RNA (212 nucleotides) under uncultured microorganism. Its description in RNAcentral is "partial 16S ribosomal RNA". It matches the Rfam family "Bacterial small subunit ribosomal RNA", at positions 9 to 208 of the family's 1533-position model. The record is from RNAcentral.